UGGGGAAUAUUGCACAAUGGGCGAAAGCCUGAUGCAGCAACGCCGCGUGAGUGAUGAAGGUCUUCGGAUUGUAAAGCUCUGUCUUUUGGGACGAUAAUGACGGUACCAAAGGAGGAAGCCACGGCUAACUACGUGCCAGCAGCCGCGGUAAUACGUAGGUGGCGAGCGUUGUCCGGAUUUACUGGGCGUAAAGGGUGCGUAGGCGGAUGUUUAAGUGAGAUGUGAAAUACCCGGGCUUAACUUGGGUGCUGCAUUUCAAACUGGAUAUCUAGAGUGCAGGAGAGGAGAUGGAAUUCCUAGUGUAGCGGUGAAAUGCGUAGAGAUUAGGAAGAACACCAGUGGCGAAGGCGAUUCUCUGGACUGUAACUGACGCUGAGGCACGAAAGCGUGGGUAGCAAACAGGAUUAGAUACCCUGGUAGUCCACGCCGUAAACGAUGAGUACUAGGUGUAGGAGGUAUCGACCCCUUCUGUGCCGCAGUAAACAAU
Molecule: ribosomal RNA, 487 nt
Filed under: uncultured bacterium
Lineage: Bacteria
Description: partial 16S ribosomal RNA
Rfam family: Bacterial small subunit ribosomal RNA
Source: RNAcentral